UUGAUAUUGAGGAUUUUUCAAAUUAACUUUUUUAGAUGAUUUAAACAAAAUACACAAGGCCUACACAUACUAUGGCCAAUUUUAAUAUGAAUGUUAUUACAUCUAAUCAAAUCUGACCUGCCUUUAAACUAUGAAGUGAUUAGCCUACAUUUUAGAUUAGUUGUAUGAAUAAACAUGCUGCACCUACAGUAGUAGGAGAUGUACAAGAAAAAGUCAGGUUUGGUCCAUGUUAAGGAAAUCAACAUGAAAAACACUUUAUUUCUAAUUGAGUAGAAUAAUUCAUUUCUGAAAUGUAUUCAUACUAUAGUAGAGUUAAUUAUUUGAACCACAGUCUAAUGAAAUGAAGAGUGCCAAACAUGCAGGAGGUUGUUGCACCAGCAGUAAUAGGGAUUGUAUCACUGUGGUACACUUUUGGUAGCGGCACCAGACUAGAUGUUGGAAGUAACAGUGCCCCCACCCUCACCGUCCUGCCCCCCUCUAGUGAGGAGCUGUCCAGUACAACAACAGCCACACUGACGUGUCUGGCCAACAAGGGCUUCCCCUCAGACUGGACCAUAAGAUGGAAAGUGGACGGGACCAGCCAGAAGCAGGAGACCAGUUCUAGGGUCCUGGAGAAGGAUGGCCUGUACAGCUGGAGCAGCACCCUGACUCUCACUGGCCUGGAGUGGACCAAGGCAGGAGAGGUGACCUGUGAAGCUCAGCAGAAUUCCCAGACUCCAGUCACCAAGACCUUGAGGAGGGCUGACUGUUAGGCCCCCUAGUCACACACCCCUGUGGAGAGAGGCUGCUGGUUCCUCUGCUUUGACUCAUGUGUCAGUCCUCUCUGUGGACUGAGAUUGAAUCGGUAUUAGAUUUGAUGAGUUCUGUUUUGUUACUAUUAGAUACUGUAGGAAUGUUUGCUUUGAUGCUUUGAUGAAUAGAUGAAAAUAAAGAUUUCCCUUUGGAACACAUA
Oncorhynchus mykiss (rainbow trout) is the source of this 952-nucleotide non-coding RNA. NCBI's taxonomy places the organism in Eukaryota, Metazoa, Chordata, Actinopteri, Salmoniformes, Salmonidae. The record is from the annotation of a RefSeq genome assembly.